GACGAACGCUGGCGGCGUGCUUAACACAUGCAAGUCGAACGGAAAGGCCCUGCUUUUGUGGGGUGCUCGAGUGGCGAACGGGUGAGUAACACGUGAGUAACCUGCCCUUGACUUUGGGAUAACUUCAGGAAACUGGGGCUAAUACCGGAUAGGAGCUCCUGCUGCAUGGUGGGGGUUGGAAAGUUUCGGCGGUUGGGGAUGGACUCGCGGCUUAUCAGCUUGUUGGUGGGGUAGUGGCUUACCAAGGCUUUGACGGGUAGCCGGCAUGAGAGGGUGACCGGCCACAUUGGGACUGCGAGACGGCCCAGACUCCUACGGGCGGCAGCAGUGGGGAAUAUUGCACAAUGGGCGGAAGCCUGAUGCAGCAACGCCGCGUGCGGGAUGCCGUCCUUCGGGUUGUAAACCGCUUUCGCCUUUGACGAAGCGUGAGUGACGGUAAUGGGUAAAGAAGCACCGGCUAACUACGUG
RNAcentral lists this ribosomal RNA (468 nucleotides) under uncultured bacterium. RNAcentral describes it as "partial 16S ribosomal RNA". It matches the Rfam family "Bacterial small subunit ribosomal RNA", at positions 28 to 507 of the family's 1533-position model. The record is from RNAcentral.